UUUCCGUUGGUGAACCUGCGGAAGGAUCAUUAUUGUAUAACAGAAGUGAGAGGGCUGUGGCUACCCCGACAGGUGGUGCACGCGCGAGUGCCCUCACACCCCUCCAUCUCCCCCCUUUGUACAACCCCGCGUGGGUCCCCAUUAUGCUUGUUAGGGUUGGAGGUUACGUUUUCAAACAUUCUAUGACUGAAGUGUUGGAUGUAUUUUUUGUUUUUGCGAUCACGCAAUCAAAACAACUUUCAACAACGGCUAUCUUGUCUCUGGGAUCGAUGAAGCACG
RNAcentral lists this unclassified non-coding RNA (279 nucleotides) under plant metagenome. RNAcentral describes it as "partial contains small subunit ribosomal RNA, internal transcribed spacer 1, and 5.8S ribosomal RNA". The record is from RNAcentral.